Molecule: ribosomal RNA, 492 nt
Filed under: uncultured bacterium
Lineage: Bacteria
Description: partial 16S ribosomal RNA
Rfam family: Bacterial small subunit ribosomal RNA
Source: RNAcentral
AGUGAACGCUGGCGGUAGGCCUAACACAUGCAAGUCGAACGGCAGCACAGUAAGAGCUUGCUCUUACGGGUGGCGAGUGGCGGACGGGUGAGGAAUACAUCGGAAUCUACUUUUUCGUGGGGGAUAACGUAGGGAAACUUACGCUAAUACCGCAUACGACCUACGGGUGAAAGCAGGUGUUCUUCGGACCUUGCGCGAUUGAAUGAGCCGAUGUCGGAUUAGCUAGUUGGCGGGGUAAAGGCCCACCAAGGCGACGAUCCGUAGCUGGUCUGAGAGGAUGAUCAGCCACACUGUAACUGAGACACGGUCCAGACUCCUACGGGAGGCAGCGGUGGGGAAUAUUGGACAAUGGGCGCAAGCCUAAUCCAGCCAUACCGCGUGGGUGAAGAAGGCCUUCGGGUUGUAAAGCCCUUUUGUUGAGAAAGAAAAGCAGCAGGUUAAUACCCCGCUGUUCUGACGGUACCCAAAGAAUAAGCACCGGCUAACUUCGUG